Molecule: RNA transcript, 1730 nt
Organism: Mus musculus (house mouse)
Lineage: Eukaryota; Metazoa; Chordata; Mammalia; Rodentia; Muridae
Gene: Gtf2h2
Gene name: general transcription factor II H, polypeptide 2
Exons: 18
Source: RefSeq, marked validated
GCGGAAGAAUUUUGGCGGCGCACUCAGACUGCCGGUACUUCCGGUGAGGGUCGUCUCGUCGAGGCUGGUGGGUCUACGCGAGGAGACCUGCGGGGUCCUGAGGCUGUGGAGGGCUGGAGUGAGGCGGACAGGAGAAGAAGCCUGGAGCUGAGGACCGAGAGUUGAAUAAGCAUAUAUAUCAUUAUAAGCACCAUGGAUGAAGAACCUGAGAGAACCAAGCGGUGGGAAGGAGGCUAUGAGAGAACCUGGGAAAUUCUUAAAGAAGAUGAAACUGGAUCACUUAAAGCUACAAUAGAAGAUAUUCUCUUCAAGGCAAAGAGGAAAAGAGUGUUUGAGCACCAUGGACAAGUCCGACUUGGAAUGAUGCGCCACCUGUAUGUGGUGGUGGAUGGAUCGAGAACAAUGGAAGAUCAGGAUUUAAAGCCCAAUAGACUGACUUGCACUUUAAAGUUGCUGGAAUACUUUGUAGAAGAAUAUUUUGAUCAAAACCCUAUCAGUCAGAUUGGAAUAAUUGUAACUAAGAGUAAAAGAGCUGAAAAACUGACUGAACUCUCAGGAAACCCAAGGAAACAUAUAACAUCUUUGAAGAAAGCUGUAGAUAUGACCUGCCAUGGAGAACCAUCGCUCUAUAAUUCCUUAAGCAUGGCUAUGCAGACCCUAAAACACAUGCCUGGACAUACAAGUAGAGAAGUGCUCAUCAUCUUCAGCAGCCUCACCACCUGUGAUCCAUCUAAUAUUUACGAUCUCAUCAAGACCCUGAAGACAGCUAAAAUUAGAGUGUCUGUUAUUGGAUUAUCUGCGGAGGUUCGAGUUUGUACUGUACUUGCUCGUGAAACUGGUGGUAUAUAUCUGCUAUCUUCAAUAAUUAUAAUUACUGUGCACAUACCAUGUUAUCUUAGAUGAAACCCAUUACAAGGAGUUGUUGGCACAUCAUGUGAGCCCCCCUCCUGCCAGCUCAAGCUCCGAGUGCUCACUCAUUCGCAUGGGAUUCCCUCAGCAUACCAUUGCUUCUUUGUCUGAUCAGGAUGCAAAACCAUCCUUCAGCAUGGCGCAUUUGGAUAACAACAGCACUGAGCCAGGGCUUACACUGGGAGGCUACUUCUGCCCACAGUGCCGAGCAAAGUACUGCGAGCUUCCUGUUGAAUGUAAAAUAUGUGGUCUUACUUUGGUGUCUGCACCUCAUUUGGCAAGAUCUUACCAUCAUUUAUUUCCUUUGGAUGCUUUUCAAGAAAUUUCCCUAGAAGAAUAUAAAGGAGAAAGGUUUUGUUAUGGAUGUCAGGGGGAAUUGAAAGACCAACAUGUCUAUGUUUGCACAGUGUGCCAAAAUGUUUUUUGUGUGGACUGUGAUGUCUUUGUUCAUGACUCUCUCCAUUGUUGUCCUGGCUGUAUUCAUAAGAUCCCAACUCCUUCAGGUCCAUCUCUGUAAUGGUUAGAAAAUUUACACCAUGAAGCAGCAUCCUGAAUGUGGAGAAAGAAGGGCACUACCAGCCGUUUGGGAAAUAUGUUAGUGGAAUCUCCAGACCUUCACGCAUCAUGACUGAUCAGCUAGCUGAAAACAAACUGCUGAACUAAAGAAGUUUUCUCCUUAGUGGAUGAAGAUGGAGAUGGCAAUGGGAACAUGAACUUGGCCCUCCCAUAUGGUCACUGAAAAACCCCAACAAGCCAAUUCAGGAUAUCCCAGAAUCUUUACUCUGAUGGAAAAAAAGAAGAAAGAAGAAAGAAAAAAAGAA